RNAcentral lists this ribosomal RNA (253 nucleotides) under uncultured bacterium. RNAcentral's name for it is "partial 16S ribosomal RNA". It matches the Rfam family "Bacterial small subunit ribosomal RNA", at positions 524 to 776 of the family's 1533-position model. The record is from RNAcentral.
UACGGAGGGGGCGAGCGUUAUUCGGAAUUAUUGGGCGUAAAGGGCGCGUAGGCGGCUGAACAAGUCAAAGGUGAAAUCCCUCGGCUCAACUGAGGAACUGCCUUUGAAACUGUUCGGCUUGAGGCCGGGAGGGGGUAGCGGAAUUCCCAGUGUAGCGGUGAAAUGCGUAGAUAUUGGGAGGAACACCAGUGGCGAAGGCGGCUACCUGGACCGGUUCUGACGCUGAGGCGCGAAAGCUAGGGGAGCAAACAGG